Molecule: ribosomal RNA, 59 nt
Filed under: Rhizoplaca chrysoleuca
Lineage: Eukaryota; Fungi; Ascomycota; Lecanoromycetes; Lecanorales; Lecanoraceae
Description: partial 26S ribosomal RNA
Source: RNAcentral
UUGACCUCGGAUCAGGUAGGGAUACCCCGCCUGAACUUAAGCAUAUCAAUAAACCCGAA